GGCCUCGUAGUUAAAUGGAUAUAACGUGAGCCUCCGAAGCUCAAGAUGCAGGUUCGAUUCCUGCCGAGGCUA
RNAcentral lists this transfer RNA (72 nucleotides) under Flammeovirgaceae bacterium. RNAcentral describes it as "tRNA-Arg". It matches the Rfam family "tRNA". Rfam says of the family: Transfer RNA (tRNA) molecules are approximately 80 nucleotides in length. Their secondary structure includes four short double-helical elements and three loops (D, anti-codon, and T loops). The record is from RNAcentral. Lineage: Bacteria; Pseudomonadati; Bacteroidota; Cytophagia; Cytophagales; Flammeovirgaceae.